Molecule: ribosomal RNA, 463 nt
Filed under: Vreelandella stevensii
Lineage: Bacteria; Pseudomonadati; Pseudomonadota; Gammaproteobacteria; Oceanospirillales; Halomonadaceae
Description: partial 16S ribosomal RNA
Rfam family: Bacterial small subunit ribosomal RNA
Source: RNAcentral
CCUACGGGUGGCUGCAGUGGGGAAUAUUGGACAAUGGGCGAAAGCCUGAUCCAGCCAUGCCGCGUGUGUGAAGAAGGCCUUCGGGUUGUAAAGCACUUUCAGUGGGGAAGAAAGCCUUGGGGCUAAUACCCUCGAGGAAGGACAUCACCCACAGAAGAAGCACCGGCUAACUCCGUGCCAGCAGCCGCGGUAAUACGGAGGGUGCGAGCGUUAAUCGGAAUUACUGGGCGUAAAGCGCGCGUAGGCGGUCUGAUAAGCCGGUUGUGAAAGCCCCGGGCUCAACCUGGGAACGGCAUCCGGAACUGUCAGGCUAGAGUGCAGGAGAGGAAGGUAGAAUUCCCGGUGUAGCGGUGAAAUGCGUAGAGAUCGGGAGGAAUACCAGUGGCGAAGGCGGCCUUCUGGACUGACACUGACGCUGAGGUGCGAAAGCGUGGGUAGCAAACAGGAUUAGAUACCGAUAGUC